This 464-nucleotide ribosomal RNA is filed under the name uncultured bacterium. Its description in RNAcentral is "partial 16S ribosomal RNA". It matches the Rfam family "Bacterial small subunit ribosomal RNA", at positions 329 to 793 of the family's 1533-position model. The record is from RNAcentral.
GGCCAGACUCCUACGGGAGGCAGCAGUGGGGAAUAUUGCACAAUGGGGGAAACCCUGAUGCAGCGACGCCGCGUGAGUGAAGAAGUAUUUCGGUAUGUAAAGCUCUCUCAGCAGGGAAGAAAAACCGACCAUAGGGUCGCUAGACGGUACCUGAUUAAGAAGCCCCGGCUAACUACGUGCCAGCAGCCGCGGUAAUACGGAGGAUGCGAGCGUUAUCCGGAUUUAUUGGGUUUAAAGGGUGCGUAGGCGGAAUAUCAAGUCAGCGGUAAAAAUUCGGGGCUCAACCCCGUCGUGCCGUUGAAACUGAUGUUCUUGAGUGGGCGAGAAGUAUGCGGAAUGCGUGGUGUAGCGGUGAAAUGCAUAGAUAUCACGCAGAACUCCGAUUGCGAAGGCAGCAUACCGGCGCCCAACUGACGCUGAAGCACGAAAGCGUGGGUAUCGAACAGGAUUAGAUACCCCAGUAA